AAUACAAGCCAUUCUAUCGCCGUUCCGAUUUAUCGGGAAGGAGGAAAGUCCGGGCAACAUAGAGCAUCUCGCUUCCUAACGGGAAGGAAUUUAGGAAUGAAAACCUGAAUGACGGAAAGUGUUACAGAAAAUAAACCGCCCCGAUUUAUCGGAGUAAGGGUGAAAACGUGAGGUAAGAGCUCACGAUCUCGCUAAGUGAUUAGCGUUUUGGUAAACCCCGGGAGUUGAAAGACCAAAUAGGCUAACGCAUGUAGGGCUGCUCGUCCGAUGUUAGUGGGUAGGUCGUUAAAGCUAAGUGGCGACAUUUAGAUUAGAUUAAUGAUAGAAGUUCGAGCAAUCGAAAACAGAACCCGGCUUAUCGGCUUGUAU
This 369-nucleotide RNase P RNA is filed under the name Pedobacter sp. Its description in RNAcentral is "partial RNase P RNA component class A". It matches the Rfam family "Bacterial RNase P class A". From Rfam's summary of the family: Ribonuclease P (RNase P) is a ubiquitous endoribonuclease, found in archaea, bacteria and eukarya as well as chloroplasts and mitochondria. Its best characterised activity is the generation of mature 5'-ends of tRNAs by cleaving the 5'-leader elements of precursor-tRNAs. Lineage: Bacteria; Pseudomonadati; Bacteroidota; Sphingobacteriia; Sphingobacteriales; Sphingobacteriaceae. The record is from RNAcentral.